UAGGGAAUCUUCGGCAAUGGACGAAAGUCUGACCGAGCAACGCCGCGUGAGUGAAGAAGGUUUUCGGAUCGUAAAACUCUGUUGUUUGAGAAGAACAAGGACGUUAGUAACUGAACGUCCCCUGACGGUAUCUAACCAGAAAGCCACGGCUAACUACGUGCCAGCAGCCGCGGUAAUACGUAGGUGGCAAGCGUUGUCCGGAUUUAUUGGGCGUAAAGCGAGCGCAGGCGGUUUCUUAAGUCUGAUGUGAAAGCCCCCGGCUCAACCGGGGAGGGUCAUUGGAAACUGGGAGACUUGAGUGCAGAAGAGGAGAGUGGAAUUCCAUGUGUAGCGGUGAAAUGCGUAGAUAUAUGGAGGAACACCAGUGGAGAAGGCGGCUCUCUGGUCUGUAACUGACGCUGAGGCUAGAAAGCGUGGGGAGCAAACAGG
Molecule: ribosomal RNA, 429 nt
Filed under: Gemmatimonadota bacterium
Lineage: Bacteria; Pseudomonadati; Gemmatimonadota
Description: Gemmatimonadetes bacterium partial 16S ribosomal RNA
Rfam family: Bacterial small subunit ribosomal RNA
Source: RNAcentral